This 930-nucleotide ribosomal RNA is filed under the name uncultured fungus. RNAcentral describes it as "eukaryotic LSU rRNA". The stretch from base 258 to 930 matches the Rfam family "Eukaryotic large subunit ribosomal RNA", at positions 1 to 655 of the family's 3401-position model. The record is from RNAcentral. Lineage: Eukaryota; Fungi.
CCUUGCGCCCUUUGGUAUUCCGAAGGGCAUGCCUGUUUGAGUGUCAUUAAAUUAUCAACCUUGUUCGCUUGAACGAGGCUUGGAUGUGAGGGCUUGCUGGCUUCCUUCAGUGGAUGGUCUGCUCCCUUUAAAUGCAUUAGUGGGAUCUCUUGUGGACCGUCACUUGGUGUGAUAAUUAUCUAUGCCACUUGACUUUGAAGCAAAUCUUAUGGGAACCCGCUCAUAACCGUCUCGCAAGGGACAAUUUAUUGACUAUUUGACCUCAAAUCAGGUAGGACUACCCGCUGAACUUAAGCAUAUCAAUAAGCGGAGGAAAAGAAACUAACAAGGAUUCCCCUAGUAACUGCGAGUGAAGCGGGAAAAGCUCAAAUUUAAAAUCUGGCGGUCCCUGUGGCCGUCCGAGUUGUAAUUUAGAGAAGUGUUAUCCGCGCUGGACCGUGUACAAGUCUCCUGGAAUGGAGCGUCAUAGAGGGUGAGAAUCCCGUCUUUGACACGGACUGCCAGGGCAUUGCGAUACGCUCUCAAAGAGUCGAGUUGUUUGGGAAUGCAGCUCAAAAUGGGUGGUAAAUUCCAUCUAAAGCUAAAUAUUGGGGAGAGACCGAUAGCGAACAAGUACCGUGAGGGAAAGAUGAAAAGAACUUUGGAAAGAGAGUUAAACAGUACGUGAAAUUGCUGAAAGGGAAACGCUUGAAGUCAGUCGCGUUGCUCAGGACUCAGCCUUGCUUUGCUUGGUGUACUUCCUGUUCGACGGGUCAGCAUCAAUUUUGGUCGGUGGAUAAAGGCUCAGAGAAUGUGGCAUCUUCGGGUGUGUUAUAGCUCUGGGUUGUAUACAUCGGCUGGGAUUGAGGAACUCAGCACGCCGCAAGGCCGGGUACUUGUACCACGUACGUGCUUAGGAUGCUGGCAUAAUGGCUUUAAUCGACCCGUCUU